CUCAGGAUGCGACCAGUGUAGACAGUACAGUAAACCGGUGGUCCUAGAGUUCACACUCACCAGGGCAGAAAGGACUGGCGCAGGAGACAUAGUUCUCCACUGUUGGCACGGUUCAGAACAAGGCUUCCGUGUGAUCUCCAAGCGCCGUGCCUAGUUUGCUGUGGCUUCCGCCCGCCCGCCCCGCCCUGGCCCUGCAAACCUCUCUCUGCGCCUUGAUACCGCAGGGCGCCUUCUGCGGCUGCUGCUGGGGCGGUGGGCGGCCAGGCAGCUGGAGGAGCCCAUGACGAGGACCAGGAUGAGAACGAAGACUGGACCGAGACGCCCCCAGAUCAUGGCGUCUCUGCGGGAACCGACACAUAGACGAAGGACCUUGUAUACAGAGCUAUUUUACAGAAAUUGCGAGUGGCACCAUGGUAUUUCUUGUGGAGCCUCACCCUCUCCUGUGCCCGCGCCCUGUCGUCCUCUCAGUCCCUGGGCAGACAUUCAUAAGACCGUACCUCUAACCCCAUGGUGAAUCUCACCAAAAAACAAAGGAGAGACCCUUCUCUGGCACCUAUAACGAUCUCUCCUCUCUGAGAGUCGCCCCUUUGCUGCUGGGUGUCUCCCACUUGGGAGAAUCCCUAGCAGGACACUCAUUCAUUUAUUCAACAAGUCUGGCUGUGUAGGUCCCCAUGCUUUGCACUCAAGUAUGGGUGCUAGGUAAGGGGAUAUGAACAGGAUGCCCACCUUUGGGGUAGAUCCUUCAGUUUCUAUCACAGUACGAUUUUGGAGCCCUCUGGUGUUCAAGGAACCAGUCUGUGGACACCCAAGCAUGGGAAAAGCCCCAGGUCCUCCCUACACUCAGGCUGGGGUGCCUAAGCUGGGGGGGGGGGUCCUGACAGAGAACAGAGCCAGGUCUUGGGGACACUGGAGGUUUGCUAGUGUGUGAAUGUGUACCUCCGAAAGUUCAUGGUCCCCAGCGCAGCAGCACUGAGAGAGGAGAGCUCUGCCAGGACCUUUGUGGACAGGUUAAUCCUGUCAUGGAUUAACAAGUUGUCUUGAGUGUAAGUUAUAAAGAUGAGUUCCCUCGGGCACACUUGUCCAGUCUGCACGUGAUACCUCCACGUGUCAUGACAUAGCACAAAGCCAUCAGUCACAGCAAACACCGGGCAUUAGGCGCUAGCCCCAUUCUCUCAAACUUCCCUGCCUCCAGAACCAUGAGCUAAAUAAAACACUGUUCUCUCUA
This 1225-nucleotide long non-coding RNA is filed under the name Mus pahari (shrew mouse). Its description in RNAcentral is "predicted gene 20621 (MGP_PahariEiJ_G0033080.1)". Lineage: Eukaryota; Metazoa; Chordata; Mammalia; Rodentia; Muridae. The record is from RNAcentral.